RNAcentral lists this ribosomal RNA (435 nucleotides) under uncultured bacterium. Its description in RNAcentral is "partial 16S ribosomal RNA". It matches the Rfam family "Bacterial small subunit ribosomal RNA", at positions 29 to 507 of the family's 1533-position model. The record is from RNAcentral.
AGCGAACGCUGGCGGCAGGCUUAACACAUGCAAGUCGAACGGGCAUCUUCGGAUGUCAGUGGCAGACGGGUGAGUAACACGUGGGAACGUACCCUUCGGUUCGGAAUAACUCAGGGAAACUUGAGCUAAUACCGGAUACGCCCUUUUGGGGAAAGGUUUACUGCCGAAGGAUCGGCCCGCGUCUGAUUGGCUUGUGGGUGGGGUAACGGCCUGCCAAGGCGACGAUCAGUAGCUGGUCUGAGAGGAUGAUCAGCCACACUGGGACUGAGACACGGCCCAGACUCCUACGGGAGGCAGCGGUGGGGAAUAUUGGACAAUGGGCGCAAGCCUGAUCCAGCCAUGCCGCGUGAGUGAUGAAGGCCUUAGGGUUGUAAAGCUCUUUUGUCCGGGACGAUAAUGACGGUACCGGAAGAAUAAGCCCCGGCUAACUUCGUG